UCAAUAUACGGAAUUACAUGA
Molecule: non-coding RNA, 21 nt
Filed under: Caenorhabditis elegans
Lineage: Eukaryota; Metazoa; Nematoda; Chromadorea; Rhabditida; Rhabditidae
Source: RNAcentral